UACGUAGGGGCUAGCGUUAUCCGGAAUUACUGGGCGUAAAGGGUGCGUAGGUGGUUUCUUAAGUCAGAGGUGAAAGGCUACGGCUCAACCGUAGUAAGCCUUUGAAACUGGGAAACUUGAGUGCAGGAGAGGAGAGUGGAAUUCCUAGUGUAGCGGUGAAAUGCGUAGAUAUUAGGAGGAACACCAGUUGCGAAGGCGGCUCUCUGGACUGUAACUGACACUGAGGCACGAAAGCGUGGGGAGCAAAACAGGAUUAGAUACCCGCGUAGUCCCUGAG
RNAcentral lists this ribosomal RNA (277 nucleotides) under uncultured prokaryote. Its description in RNAcentral is "partial 16S ribosomal RNA". It matches the Rfam family "Bacterial small subunit ribosomal RNA", at positions 524 to 801 of the family's 1533-position model. The record is from RNAcentral.